GACGAACGCUGGCGGCGUGCUUAACACAUGCAAGUCGAACGAAGAGCGAUGGAAGCUUGCUUCUAUCAAUCUUAGUGGCGAACGGGUGAGUAACGCGUAAUCAACCUGCCCUUCAGAGGGGGACAACAGUUGGAAACGACUGCUAAUACCUCAUACGAUCCAAUCUCGGCAUCGGGACUGGAUUAAAGGUGGCCUCUAUUUAUAAGCUAUCACUGAAGGAGGGGAUUGCGUCUGAUUAGCUAGUUGGAGGGGUAACGGCCCACCAAGGCGAUGAUCAGUAGCCGGUCUGAGAGGAUGAACGGCCACAUUGGGACUGAGACACGGCCCAGACUCCUACGGGAGGCAGCAGUGGGGAAUCUUCCGCAAUGGACGAAAGUCUGACGGAGCAACGCCGCGUGAGUGAUGACGGCCUUCGGGUUGUAAAGCUCUGUUAAUCGGGACGAAUGGUUCUUGUGCGAAUAGUGCGAGGAUUUGACGGUACCGGAAGAGAAAGCCACGGCUAACUACGUG
This 510-nucleotide ribosomal RNA is filed under the name uncultured bacterium. Its description in RNAcentral is "partial 16S ribosomal RNA". It matches the Rfam family "Bacterial small subunit ribosomal RNA", at positions 28 to 507 of the family's 1533-position model. The record is from RNAcentral.